This is a non-coding RNA of Caenorhabditis elegans, 21 nucleotides long. Lineage: Eukaryota; Metazoa; Nematoda; Chromadorea; Rhabditida; Rhabditidae. The record is from Ensembl.
UAUCAUUUAAUAAGUUACUGA